RNAcentral lists this long non-coding RNA (494 nucleotides) under Mytilus galloprovincialis (Mediterranean mussel). Lineage: Eukaryota; Metazoa; Mollusca; Bivalvia; Mytilida; Mytilidae. The record is from RNAcentral.
GUUGUUUAUAUACUUUUGUUUAUCUUAACUGUAUAUCGGAAUAACAUCCAAUGAUAUAUAUUUUUGAUGCUGAAGUCCGCAUCUGGGUGUGAGAUUUAAUUCUAACUGUGUCAAAGACCAAUUGGGUGCUUGGGCUGGGUUUUUUUUUUUUUUUUCAUCUGAUUAUUGUCUCUUUGAGACAUUCCACAUUUCAAUUUUUAAAUUUUCUUAUACAUGCAUUUUUAUACCAUUUUUGUCGAGCCUUCGACUUUAGUCGAAAAAAGCGAGACUAAGCGAUCCUACAUUCCGGCGGCGGCGGCCACAAAUAUUCACUCUGUGGUUAAAGUUUUUGAAAUUUUGAUAACUUUAUUAAAAUAUACUGGAUUUCUACCAAGCUUUGAAAGAAACUUGUUUAUGAUCAUAAGAUAUUAUCCAGAAGUAAAUUUUGUAAAAAAAAUAAAUCCAUUUUUUCCGUAUUUUACUUUUAAAUGGCCUUAGUUUUUCUGCGGGGAAAC